UAUAGAGAACAAACUAGUAGUCACUUGUGGAGAGGUAAGCAGGGGAGGGCAAGAUAGGAGUAGAGUAUUAAGAGUUACAAACUACUAUAUAUAAAACAAAUAAGCUACAAAGAUAUAAAUUGUAGAGCACA
Non-coding RNA from Vicugna pacos (alpaca), 131 nucleotides. NCBI's taxonomy places the organism in Eukaryota, Metazoa, Chordata, Mammalia, Artiodactyla, Camelidae. The record is from RefSeq and is a predicted model, not a curated record.